UACGUAGGGGGCAAGCGUUGUCCGGAAUCAUUGGGCGUAAAGAGCGUGUAGGCGGCCAGGUAGGUCUGCUGUGAAAACUCGAGGCUCAACCUCGAGACGUCGGCGGAAACCAUCUGGCUAGAGUCCGGAAGAGGAGAGUGGAAUUCCUGGUGUAGCGGUGAAAUGCGCAGAUAUCAGGAGGAACACCGGUGGCGAAGGCGGCUUGCUGGGCCUUACCUGACGCUGAGGAGCGAAAGCGUGGGGAGCGAACAGG
This 253-nucleotide ribosomal RNA is filed under the name uncultured bacterium. Its description in RNAcentral is "partial 16S ribosomal RNA". It matches the Rfam family "Bacterial small subunit ribosomal RNA", at positions 524 to 776 of the family's 1533-position model. The record is from RNAcentral.